CCCGUUCUAGCAUUGGAACCACUUCUAGGAAC
RNAcentral lists this non-coding RNA (32 nucleotides) under Homo sapiens (human). The record is from RNAcentral. Lineage: Eukaryota; Metazoa; Chordata; Mammalia; Primates; Hominidae.